GUGGGGAAUAUUGGACAAUGGGCGAAAGCCUGAUCCAGCCAUGCCGCGUGUGUGAAGAAGGUCUUCGGAUUGUAAAGCACUUUAAGUUGGGAGGAAGGGCAGUAAGUUAAUACCUUGCUGUUUUGACGUUACCGACAGAAUAAGCACCGGCUAACUUCGUGCCAGCAGCCGCGGUAAUACGAAGGGUGCAAGCGUUAAUCGGAAUUACUGGGCGUAAAGCGCGCGUAGGUGGUUUUGUAAGUUGGAGGUGAAAUCCCCGGGCUCAACCUGGGAACUGCCUCCAAAACUACAUGACUAGAGUACGGUAGAGGGUAGUGGAAUUUCCUGUGUAGCGGUGAAAUGCGUAGAUAUAGGAAGGAACACCAGUGGCGAAGGCGACUACCUGGACUGAUACUGACACUGAGGUGCGAAAGCGUGGGGAGCAAACAGGAUUAGAUACCCCAGUAGUCC
Molecule: ribosomal RNA, 450 nt
Filed under: uncultured bacterium
Lineage: Bacteria
Description: partial 16S ribosomal RNA
Rfam family: Bacterial small subunit ribosomal RNA
Source: RNAcentral